CUCCCUGAGGUUAGCGGCGGACGGGUGAGUAACACGUGGGUAACCUGCCUGUAAGCUGGGAUAACUCCGGGAAACCGGGGCUAAUACCGGAUGCUUGUUUGAACCGCAUGGUUCAAACAUAAAAGGUGGCUUCGGCUACCACUUACACAUGGACCCGCGGCGCAUUAGCUAGUUGGUGAGGUAAUGGCUCACCAAGGCCACGAUGCGUAGCCAACCUGAGAGGGUGAUCGGCCACACUGGGACUGACACACGGCCCACACUCCUACGGGAGGCAGCAGUAUGGAAUCUUCCGCAAUGGACGAAAGUCUGACGGAGCAACGCCGCGUGAGUGAUGAAGGUUUUCGGAUCGUAAAGCUCUGUUGUUAGGGAAGAACAAGUACCGUUCGAAUAGGGCGGUACCUUGACGGUACCUAACCAGAAAGCCACGGCUAACUACGUGCCAGCAACCGCGGUAAUACGUAGGUGGCAAGCGUUGUCCGGAAUUAUUGGGCGUAAAGGGCUCGCAUGCGGUUUCUUAAGUCUGAUGUGAAAUCCCCCGGCUCAACCGGGGAGGGUCAUUGGAAACUGGGGAACUUGAGUGCAGAAGAGGAUAGUGGAAUUCCACGUGUAGCGGUGAAAUGCUUAGAGAUGUGGAGGAACACCAGUGGCGAAGGCGACUCUCUGGUCUGUAACUGACGCUGAGGAGCGAAAGCGUG
Molecule: ribosomal RNA, 695 nt
Filed under: Bacillus spizizenii
Lineage: Bacteria; Bacillati; Bacillota; Bacilli; Caryophanales; Bacillaceae
Description: bacterial SSU rRNA
Rfam family: Bacterial small subunit ribosomal RNA
Source: RNAcentral